UUUUUCCUACGGGGGGCAGCAGUGGGGAAUAUUGGGCAAUGGGCGCAAGCCUGACCCAGCAACGCCGCGUGAAGGAAGAAGGCCCUCGGGUUGUAAACUUCUUUUAUCAAGGACGAAACAAAUGACGGUACUUGAUGAAUAAGCCACGGCUAACUACGUGCCAGCAGCCGCGGUAAUACGUAGGUGGCAAGCGUUAUCCGGAUUUACUGGGUGUAAAGGGCGUGUAGGCGGGGCUGACAAGUCAGAUGUGAAAUCCCGCGGCUCAACCGCGGAACUGCAUUUGAAACUGUCAGUCUUGAGUACCG
RNAcentral lists this ribosomal RNA (305 nucleotides) under uncultured bacterium. RNAcentral's name for it is "bacterial SSU rRNA". It matches the Rfam family "Bacterial small subunit ribosomal RNA", at positions 333 to 651 of the family's 1533-position model. The record is from RNAcentral.